CUCCUCGCCGUCGGGCGCUGCCCCCUCCAGUGCGCGCCUCCUCGCCGCCGGGCACCGCCUUCUCCAGAGCGUGCCUUUUCAUCGCUGGGCGCCGCUCCUCCUACACGCACCUCCUUGUCGUCGGGCACCGCCCCCUCCUCCACAAGCCUUCUCACCGCCGGGUUCCGCCCCCUUCUCGCCGGCUGGCGCCGCCCCCUCCUCGCGUGCCUUUUCUUUGCCGGACGCCAACCCCACCCUGCUGCCGGGCGUCCGCCUUCGGGAUCCAACGCCCAACACCACGGUCUCUGUUGUCCUGCUGUUUCACAUGGGAGGUGUUAGCCUCCUGCACCCGCCGGAUCCGGUCAUCCCCUUCCGUUCACCUCUUCCACCCGAGGCCAUUCACCACCGCCACCAGUUCUCAUUCAACACCGGCCCCAGAAUCCCGCGCGUCAAUGACGCCGCUGUCAACCCAUGCGAAGCUUCAAAAGAGGGAGUCAGAGGAGAUAAAGCAGGGGAUUGUUGAUGUGCCUGAUUGUUGCUCUCCUGUUGCCGUUGCCGAGCACAGGGGGUGGUCGCCGGCGGCUCCAUUCUCGACCCAGCUGCUGCCCUGCAUGCAGCCAGCCUUGGAGACCACCCGCCACCACGACCGUCGUUGUCCAUCCCCUACAUCGACAGUGCUCAAGCGGCUCUUCUCACUGGCUCCUACGACUCCCUCAUUCGCCAUGGAUACAACCAUCAUUGCAGGUGUGGAGAACCAAAAAGUUAUAAUAAUGGUGAAUCAGAAGUUCAAGCACAGUAAUCUGGGGGCGUGGGGGCAACUGCUGAUAGAGACCGAGUCAAAGUGUCGUGACUGCUGAUGCAGAUCUUCAGCAUGGACUUUGAUGGAGAUACUCCUCUAAUGUCCUACUUCCAGAAGAUAUGAGUGAGAUGCGAUGGGACCUGACCAGAUGCUGAUGUUGGACUAGAAAAUUUAGUGAAAAACUAUUCUGUGCUAAAAGAACAACUAUGCUUUGUCGGACAAGCACAAUACGAGGUAAUGGAAAGCUCCAAUGCCCACCUACAAUAUAUUUUGUCCUGAGAAAAAAUUACACAAGAGUGCUAGGAUGUUCAAAUAAAAAUAGUACACACGUGUGGUGUCGUUUAUAUAAUUUUGUAAAGAAGAUCUAUAUGUGUAAGUUAUCUGAUAAAAGAAAGAACAAAAUCAACUUGCAAAUUUAGGGAAACAUGUGUACCUUGAGAGAAGUUCAUAGAAUAAAUGCUAGGAGGUUCAUUUGAUGUUCGUUUAAGAAGUCCUCAAUGCAAGUUGGAGGGCUGGUAAGUUCUACUACUAGUCUACGCCAAGUGCCAAGUUCAGGGGCAUUGCCCACUGAUGGCGAGGACAACGAGCCAACGACGUCGGAUCAUAGGUCGAAGAGGUGUUUCUAUGUUCCUAUAGCACGAACAGGUGCUUGUUGUUAUGCCUGAUAAUGAUGUUGUACACAAAUGGCUUAUGGGAUAUCAGGGUAAUGUGCAUACAAAUGAUUUUAGGUUAAUAUUAUUUGAUUUGACUACAGUACACGAAGCCUCUGCCUAUGUAGGAUGUAAGAGGGUUGACGGAUCCAUGCCGCACAAGCACUGGUGCUCUGCUUUCUUCUUACUUUGUGUUCUAAUUUGCUUUCUUCUUAUUUUCAGCUUGCGAGAAACAAAAAGAAGUUAAAAAAAUGUUGUGCCCGGAGUUCAUAUUAUUUGCUACCCCGUGAUAAUAAAAAUAAGAUGUAUGCAUUGCUUCUUGGCCCAGCUUGAGAGAACCCUCAUGUUAAAAAGUAUAAAGCAGUUUUGGUAGCUCAGGCUUCUUUAUGUUUUGGAGAUCUACAGAGUGACUAUCUGAGAGCUGUGCUGGACUUUCUCAUUACAGCAUGGAACUUCUCUAGAAAUCCCAGUUGAUUUUUAAUGUUUGUUCCUCAUCACUUCUAAAAAUCUCAGAGCAUCCGUCCAACUAUGUAUCAGGAUAUACUAUGUUGUAAAUUUAUGUAUGCUUGUAUGUGCA
This is a long non-coding RNA of Triticum dicoccoides, 2005 nucleotides long. RefSeq lists it as uncharacterized. Lineage: Eukaryota; Viridiplantae; Streptophyta; Magnoliopsida; Poales; Poaceae. The record is from RefSeq and is a predicted model, not a curated record. The transcript has 5 exons.